Molecule: ribosomal RNA, 439 nt
Filed under: uncultured bacterium
Lineage: Bacteria
Description: partial 16S ribosomal RNA
Rfam family: Bacterial small subunit ribosomal RNA
Source: RNAcentral
CUACGGGAGGCUGCAGUGAGGAAUAUUGCACAAUGGGGGGAACCCUGAUGCAGCAACGCCGCGUGGAGGAUGACGCAUUUCGGUGUGUAAACUCCUUUUAUAUGUCAAGAAAAUGACGGUAGCAUAUGAAUAAGCACCGGCUAACUCCGUGCCAGCAGCCGCGGUAAUACGGAGGGUGCAAGCGUUACUCGGAAUCACUGGGCGUAAAGGACGCGUAGGCGGGUUGGAAAGUCAGGUGUGAAAUCCUACAGCUUAACUGUAGAACUGCACUUGAAACUUCUAAUCUAGAGUAUGGGAGGGGGAGAUGGAAUUAGUGGUGUAGGGGUAAAAUCCGUAGAUAUCACUAGGAAUACCUAAAGCGAAGGCGAUCUCCUGGAACAUUACUGACGCUAAGGCGUGAAAGCGUGGGGAGCAAACAGGAUUAGAUACCCUUGUAGUC